AGCUUUGUACAGUGGCAGUAUCAUAGCCGAUGAGGUUUAUCCGAGGCGCAAUUAUUGCUAAUUAAAAACUUUUCCCAAUACCCCAACGUAAAGACUUGCAAUAUAAUCGGCAUUGGCAAUUUUAGACAGUCUCUACAGAGA
Molecule: small nuclear RNA, 141 nt
Filed under: Cebus imitator (Panamanian white-faced capuchin)
Lineage: Eukaryota; Metazoa; Chordata; Mammalia; Primates; Cebidae
Description: U4 spliceosomal RNA (ENSCCAG00000001416.1)
Rfam family: U4 spliceosomal RNA
About the family: U4 small nuclear RNA (U4 snRNA) is a component of the major U2-dependent spliceosome.
Source: Rfam by way of RNAcentral